This 385-nucleotide unclassified non-coding RNA is filed under the name uncultured Phycisphaeraceae bacterium. RNAcentral describes it as "contains 16S-23S intergenic spacer region". Lineage: Bacteria; Pseudomonadati; Planctomycetota; Phycisphaerae; Phycisphaerales; Phycisphaeraceae. The record is from RNAcentral.
UCCGGUUUGACACCGGCAGUCUCGGUAGAGUCCUCGCCAUGACGCGUUAGUAACUACCGACAGGGGUUGCGCUCGUUAGAGGACUUAACCCGACGCUUCACAGCACGAGCUGACGACAGCCAUGCAGCACCUGUGACUGUUCCACUCUUGCGAGCGUCAUUCCUGUUUCCAGGAACUAAUCCAGCCAUGUCAAGACCAGGUAAGGUUCUGCGCGUUGCUUCGAAUUGAGCCACAUGCUCCACCGCUUGUGUGAGCCCCCGUCAAUUUCUUUGAGUUUUAGUCUUGCGACCGUACUCCCCAGGCGGCACGCUUAGCAAUUUCUCUACGAUCCCGGCGGCGUCAGAGCCGUCGUAAUCAAGCGUGCAUCGUUUAGGGCGUGGACUAC